RNAcentral lists this long non-coding RNA (404 nucleotides) under Homo sapiens (human). RNAcentral's name for it is "non-protein coding FOXP4-AS1:8". The record is from RNAcentral. Lineage: Eukaryota; Metazoa; Chordata; Mammalia; Primates; Hominidae.
CCCAGGGAUUCACCCUGGCCUCGGACUAAUCCUAUGGGGCGCUUGCAAACCCCGGCCAUCCCCUGGAGUCUGAAGGUCAUUCCGGACUCCUGACGCCGCCAGUCCCGCGGUGAGACGUGAGCGCCAUUGGCGUCCGUGGCCUCUGUUUCCGUGGCAACCUAGUAACCAUUAAUUUUCAAUUAAAGGAGACAAAAAGCUCGAUGACAGCUCCAGGUCUGCUGAAGAUGUCAAGAAUCUGUAUUAAUAUACAGCAAGAGAGCAUAAUUGUGUGUCCAUCUUCCAGAGCAGCGAAAAAUGGAGGGAUAAUUACCAGCUCGAAAGCCACUCUGUAAUUUAGUUCUUACUGUCACCACAGCCCUACACAUUAGCAUAAAUUAAAAGCAGAGUUUAUUGUUAUCAAAGUG